ACGAUGAAAACAUUCAGAGCUUUCAUUUCCGUUAACGUAGCAAUACACGACAGCGGUGUGUGUGAGUGUGCUUGAUACGCAUAGUAAACCGUGACAAUGGCGUCUUCGAUCAUACUUUGGGUGUUAAUAAUUCUCCUGGAAACCAACACCAUAUCAGGCAAUAAGUUUUGAUGUAUUAAUUAAAUGUUUCUCUUUUCAUAUUAAAAGCAUAGUAACACUUGAAUUUAAAUUUGAUGUUUAACCAUGUCACAAUUAAUGUGUUGUAAUUUACAUUCCAGGAACAUGCACAGAAUUCGUUGAUGGGCCUAUAAACCGUGUUUGGAUGGAAUAUAAAUUCACAUGGGCAAAUACCGAAACAAAACACGUAUACUGUUUUAAUGGAUCCGAACACUCUCCGAUAGGAGAGUGCUAUGAAUUUGAUAGAUUUGAAUGCCCCAUUGAUCAAGCGAGCAGCGGUGUGUACACUAUGUCUUCGAAUGCAGAUUUAACGGUAGUGUACGUUGUCAUAAUAACAUCAAAUAACAUAACGUCGGGAAACUUCAGUUGUUCUAAAACCGAUGGUGCAGGGAAAAUCACAAAAUGUGUACAACAUUCAGUUUCAACAACUCCUGCACCUACGACAAGUAUGACAACUCCAAAACCUGGAGGUUGGAAUAUCUUCCUAUUCGCAAUAAUCGCAAUACUCGCAAUCGUCGUCUUGGUCUUGGCGAUUGUGCUCCAUCGACUUCGUGCACAAGGGCAAUACGGAAAACCUGGUAAGUAACGAGCAGCUUAUAUGAAUAACUAAAUAAACUAACAUAAAUUUACCUUCUGUAUCUUUCUAGUUCACUACCGAAUUUACAGGAUAGGACUUUAGGUUAAGCCCCUC
This is a long non-coding RNA of Dreissena polymorpha, 868 nucleotides long. RefSeq lists it as uncharacterized. The transcript is spliced from 3 exons. The record is from RefSeq and is a predicted model, not a curated record. NCBI's taxonomy places the organism in Eukaryota, Metazoa, Mollusca, Bivalvia, Myida, Dreissenidae.